RNAcentral lists this long non-coding RNA (1062 nucleotides) under Canis lupus familiaris (dog). RNAcentral's name for it is "lncRNA (ENSCAFG00000057485.1)". The record is from RNAcentral. Lineage: Eukaryota; Metazoa; Chordata; Mammalia; Carnivora; Canidae.
AGUUUCCACUUAGAAUGUGCAAGUCAACCAGCUCAGUCUGUAGCUGUGCACCAAAAUCUCUCCGAACUUGUUGGCAAGCCACCGCCAAGAUUUUUCAAACAAAUCUGCCCCUGCCUUUCGGGGUUUCUGUCCAUAUCUGGGCUCUCCAAGAACGUGGGGACAGGGGCCUCGCCUUGGGAAACCGGAGCUUCGAGCGGCGAGCUCUCGAGGGUGGGGCCCUGCUUCACAGCGCGGGAGCACAGCGAGGGCCGGGCUCAAGGAGCCCCCGGGGCACAGGGCUCGCAGGGUAAGGUCAGCACCUGCCGGGCUGCCGGCCGCCCAGCCCCGGACAGCUCCGCGGGCGGCCGCGCGACUUGGGCCGCCCCGCCCCGCCCGCCCAGUCUCCCCAGGUGGGGGCGGCGUGCGCGCCAGGCAGUGCGGGCGCCCCCUCCGCGCGUUUCCGGUCCCCGCCGCCCUGAGAAGUCCUCCCCGGCGGCCGGGGGCGGCGGGAGACCGGGAGGCGGACGUGCACGCGGGGGGGCGGGGGGAGGGCGGCCGUCGCGCGUCUCCUUCCCGCCUUCACGGCGAGGCGGCGGGCGCGGUCCUGCCAAGGAGGCCCGCGCGGCCCGCGGGGGGCUCUCGACGGCAGCCGCGAGUUGGAGGUCCUCUGGGGCUGCCCCCCACUCCUCUCACUCGGGAGUGACUGAAGCGAGGCCUGGCGCCGCUCCAGAAGCCGCUCCGGGAAAGCCGCCGGCUUCUCUUCAGACCGCGACGCUCGCGUCCUCGGGCGGGUCCGAGGGACACCUGGACUCGCCGGCCGGGGCUCGAGAAGGCACCUGGGGCGGCUUUGCUGGCAUUAUUUUUUUUUUUUCUCGUUUUACCUCCGUGCUCUCUUCCUGGGGAGCGCGGGGAGCCGGGACCCCGCGCUCGCGCCCCCGGCUCCGCCCCACACACGCGCCCGCCCGCCCGCCAGCCGAGAGAGGGCGCCCCCGCCCCGCCCCCUCGCUGACGCGCGCCCAGCCGGGCCAAUCAGAGCUCGCGGCGCUGCGCCCCACGCGCCGGCCCCCCCCACCCCCAGCUUAA